AGACAGGGUCUCGCUCUGCCACACAGGCUGGAGUGCAAUGGCACAGUCAUAGCUCACUGCAACCUCAGCCUUCCACAUUUGAGACAUUGUAAGUUCAGAGGCAUGAGAGUUAGCAUCCAGAGGCAGCAGACACCAGCAGCACAGCUGUUUCUCCCGCAGGGUCAUUGCCAGCAGAACAUCCUACACCAAUGGCUCUUUGGGCAGGAUCUUGGCUGUGCUUUGUCUGUCUAGCUUCAUGCCUAAGUUUGCCAAGAGCCCUGAUCCAGGUGAAUUGUGUAAACCUUGCACGUGGAAUUCCCAGCAAAGAAGCUGUAGGGAUCGGGAUAGGGCCUGGGAAGUGUCUGACUUACAGAAACCCGCCAUGUCUUGUUCUCUGCUGGAGACCUCUGCUUCUCCAUCUUGUGAACAUCCACAGGCCCCCUGCACCGUAAUCUUGCCCUCUCACUGUUGACUCAGUCCUCAUGGAAGUUAUAAAAGAACUUGUGUGGAUUAGCUUGCUAAAUACAUCCAAGAUUUGAAGAACUGAAAACAAAAUCAGUAUUAAACCUGCUUUUUAAAAAUGUAAGUGAAGUAACUUCUGGCCAUGGUUCAUUUCAGACCUCUCUAAAGCCUGAAAUUACCUCUCAGUGUAUGUGAAUUUUUUUCCAGGAGUAAAGUUACUUGACUCUAGUGAGUCUA
This 678-nucleotide small RNA is filed under the name Pan troglodytes (chimpanzee). RNAcentral's name for it is "processed transcript". The record is from RNAcentral. Lineage: Eukaryota; Metazoa; Chordata; Mammalia; Primates; Hominidae.